Prunus avium (sweet cherry) is the source of this 268-nucleotide non-coding RNA. NCBI's taxonomy places the organism in Eukaryota, Viridiplantae, Streptophyta, Magnoliopsida, Rosales, Rosaceae. The record is from RefSeq and is a predicted model, not a curated record.
AGGGAGUAAGAUUGCUUGAAAGUAACUUCAUCAAUAAAACAUCAAUGGUCUUUUGCUUGUGCUUGAGAUCUUUAUUGGAGCAUCAGAAGAAUCCAAUGAAGCCAUUGGAGAAGCACUUCCAGGACUCUUUGUUGACCAAGUACCUGAGAGCUUACAUGGAAGGCAAGAAAAGGAUGGCGUUGGUAUGUUGUCUUAUCACCACCUCGUAGUUCUGCUGUCUUUAAAAUCAUCUCACUGCUUUAUUUGUUAAUUAUGCAGAUCUUAACAG